CCUACGGGAGGCAGCAGUGGGGAAUAUUGGACAAUGGGGGCAACCCUGAUCCAGCCAUGCCGCGUGUGUGAAGAAGGCCCUCGGGUUGUAAAGCACUUUCAGUGAGGAAGAACGCCUGGUGGUUAAUACCCAUCAGGAAAGACAUCACUCACAGAAGAAGCACCGGCUAACUCCGUGCCAGCAGCCGCGGUAAUACGGAGGGUGCGAGCGUUAAUCGGAAUUACUGGGCGUAAAGCGCGCGUAGGUGGCUUGAUAAGCCGGUUGUGAAAGCCCCGGGCUCAACCUGGGAACAGCAUCCGGAACUGUCAAGCUAGAGUGCAGGAGAGGAAGGUAGAAUUCCCGGUGUAGCGGUGAAAUGCGUAGAGAUCGGGAGGAAUACCAGUGGCGAAGGCGGCCUUCUGGACUGACACUGACACUGAGGUGCGAAAGCGUGGGUAGCAAACAGGAUUAGAUACCCCUGUAGUC
This 465-nucleotide ribosomal RNA is filed under the name Vreelandella stevensii. RNAcentral's name for it is "partial 16S ribosomal RNA". It matches the Rfam family "Bacterial small subunit ribosomal RNA", at positions 338 to 795 of the family's 1533-position model. The record is from RNAcentral. Lineage: Bacteria; Pseudomonadati; Pseudomonadota; Gammaproteobacteria; Oceanospirillales; Halomonadaceae.